Manihot esculenta (cassava) is the source of this 1271-nucleotide RNA transcript. It is a transcript of the gene named ER lumen protein-retaining receptor erd-2.2, with no coding region annotated. Lineage: Eukaryota; Viridiplantae; Streptophyta; Magnoliopsida; Malpighiales; Euphorbiaceae. The transcript is spliced from 7 exons. The record is from RefSeq and is a predicted model, not a curated record.
CGCGAGAGAGAGUCUAGAGACUCGUAUAAAUUUCACUACAAACAAAGUUUUCAAAUCUAAAUUUUCGUACUCUCGAUCUCUGAAGAAAGGAGUGAAUUACCGACCGACAAUGGGUCGGCGAAGGAGCUCCCCGGCGACGGUGGUGUUUGGAUGGAUGAGAAGACAGUCAGUGAAGGUGAAAAGCUUGAUCGGAGUGAUAAUUGGAUUGUGUUGUUUGGUUGGUUUGAAAUUAGCAGUGAAAGAUCAUAAUCAUUUCUUUAUAGCGUCUGAGACAAUCCACGCUGCUGGGAUUUUGGUUUUGAUAUAUAAGCUCACAACGCAGAAGACAUGUUCUGGUCUUUCACUUAAGAGCCAACAACUCACGGCUUUAUUUUUAGCUGUGAGAUUGGUUUGUAGCGUCCUGAUUGAAGGCGACAUCCAUACAGUGCUAGAUUUUGCCACAUUAAUUUCAACCACAUGGGUUAUUUAUAUGAUACAAUUCAAGCUGAAGUCCACCUACAUCAAGGAACUAGACAACAUGCCUUUGUACUAUACGGUUGUGCCUUCUGCUAUUCUGGCUAUACUAAUCCACCCCUAUGGAUCGAGUUUGGGCAUUAGUAGAUUUCUUUGGGCUUUUUGUGUAUACUUGGAAUCUGUCUCAGUGCUGCCUCAGCUUCGUCUCAUGCAAAAUGCAAAGAUGAUUGAACCAUUUACAGCUCAUUAUGUAUUUGCAUUGGGUAUUGCAAGGUUCUUAGCAUGUGCCCACUGGAUCAUCCAGGUUUACGAGACUGGUGGGAGGCAUCUAUUCUUGAUUGGGAGUGGAUACUUGUGGCUUCCUAUGGCACUUCUUUCAGAAGGUGUUCAAACAUUCAUCUUGGCUGAUUUCUGUUACUAUUACAUCAAGAGUUUCAUGGAAGGCCAGCUUCUGAUGAGAAUGCCAGUUUAGGAUGCCUGAUUAUGAAGAAUUGAGGACAACUUAGAACUUAAUUUGAUGAUAUUAUUGUGUCAUGGGUCUAAUUAAACUUUCCAUUAGAGUUGUUCUUCUGGCGGUGCGAAGAAGGUAAACCAAUGUUCCAAAUAGUUCGAGAUCAUCUCUCCAGGUUGAUGUUUGUAUUUUGGGCUUUGGAUCAGUGUCUCUCCAAAACUUAUGUGCUUAUUAGCUGGAUUGGUGUUCAAUCCAUCUAUCUUGUAACUUUUGUUUUUCUUGAUAUAUUCUCCUUUUCAGUUAAAAAAAAAUAAAGAAAUCUAAAAUUUGGUUUGCCGCAUCAUAAAAGAGUCAAUUCAUUAACAAU